RNAcentral lists this ribosomal RNA (605 nucleotides) under uncultured fungus. Its description in RNAcentral is "eukaryotic LSU rRNA". The stretch from base 244 to 397 matches the Rfam family "5.8S ribosomal RNA". Lineage: Eukaryota; Fungi. The record is from RNAcentral.
CAUUAUUGAAAUAAACCUGAUGGGUUGCUGCUGGCUCUCUAGGGAGCAUGUGCACACUUGUCAUCUUUAUAUCUCCACCUGUGCACCUUUUGUAGAUCUGGAUAUCUUUCUGAAUGCCUGGCAUUCAGGUUUGAGGAUUGACUUUUGUCUUUCCUUACAUUUCCAGGCCUAUGUUUUCUUCAUAUACACCAUUUAUGUUAUAGAAUGUAAUGAAAAGGGCCUUUGUGCCUACAAACCUUAUACAACUUUCAGCAACGGAUCUCUUGGCUCUCGCAUCGAUGAAGAACGCAGCGAAAUGCGAUAAGUAAUGUGAAUUGCAGAAUUCAGUGAAUCAUCGAAUCUUUGAACGCACCUUGCGCUCCUUGGUAUUCCGAGGAGCAUGCCUGUUUGAGUGUCAUUGAUAUAUCAACCUCCUCAGGUUUUGACUUGUCGAGUGUUUGGAUGUGGGGGUCUUUUGCUGGUCUCUUUUGAGGUCGGCUCCCCUAAAAUGCAUUAGCGGAACAAUUUGUUGACCCGUUCAUUGGUGUGAUAACUAUCUACGCUUUGACGUGAAACAGGUUCAGCUUCUAACAGUCCAUUGACUUGGACAAAUUUUCAUUAAUGUG